CAGACUUGAAAAGCUCAGCCUCGGGCUGUCUGCACCAUGACCUGGGCUCCUCUCCUGCUCACUCUUCUGGCUCACUGCACAGGCUCCACUUCCCAGGCUGUGGUGACUCAGGAAACUUCACUGACCACAACUCCAGGAGGGACAGUCACACUCACCUGUGGCUCCAGUACUGGGGCCGUUACCACCAGUAACUAUGCUGGCUGGAUCCAACAGAAGUCCUCCCAGGUACCUCAGGGUAUAAUAGGUAGCACUGGUACUCGGCUCCCAGGAGUCCCUGCCCGAUUCACAGGCUCCCUGCUCGGAGACAAGGCUGCCCUCACCAUCACAGGGGCCCAGGCUGAGGAUGAGGCCACGUAUUACUGUAUUCUGUGGUUCAGCAACCAUGUCCACAGUGGCAUAUGCAGAUGGAGAAGUGAGACAAAAACACCCGGGCUCAGCCUCACUCUUUGCCCCUAA
This is a non-coding RNA of Sciurus carolinensis (gray squirrel), 456 nucleotides long. The record is from the annotation of a RefSeq genome assembly. NCBI's taxonomy places the organism in Eukaryota, Metazoa, Chordata, Mammalia, Rodentia, Sciuridae.